RNAcentral lists this ribosomal RNA (365 nucleotides) under uncultured bacterium. Its description in RNAcentral is "partial 16S ribosomal RNA". It matches the Rfam family "Bacterial small subunit ribosomal RNA", at positions 338 to 700 of the family's 1533-position model. The record is from RNAcentral.
CCUACGGGCGGCAGCAGUGAGGAAUAUUGGUCAAUGGGCGCGAGCCUGAACCAGCCAAGUAGCGUGAAGGAUGACUGCCCUACGGGUUGUAAACUUCUUUUAUAAAGGAAUAAAGUGAGGCACGUGUGCCUUUUUGUAUGUACGUUAUGAAUAAGGAUCGGCUAACGCCGUGCCAGCAGCCGCGGUAAUACGGAGGAUCCGAGCGUUAUCCGGAUUUAGUGGGUUUCCAGGGAGCGUAGAUGGGUUUUUAAGUCCGUGGUGAACGUUUGCGGCUCAACCGUAAAAUUGCAUUUUAUACUGGCAGCCUUCCGUUCAGUUGCGGUAGGCGGCUUUCGUUGUGUAGCGGUCAAAUUCUUAGCUAUCAC